RNAcentral lists this ribosomal RNA (433 nucleotides) under uncultured bacterium. RNAcentral's name for it is "partial 16S ribosomal RNA". It matches the Rfam family "Bacterial small subunit ribosomal RNA", at positions 29 to 507 of the family's 1533-position model. The record is from RNAcentral.
AACGAACGCUGGCGGCAUGCCUAACACAUGCAAGUCGAACGAGACCUUCGGGUCUAGUGGCGCACGGGUGCGUAACGCGUGGGAACCUGACCUUAGGUUCGGAAUAACUCUCCGAAAGGGGUGCUAAUACCGGACAAUGUCUUCGGACCAAAGAUUUAUCGCAUUUGGAUGGGCCCGCGUUGGAUUAGCUAGUUGGUAGGGUAAAAGCCUACCAAGGCGACGAUCAAUAGCUGGGUUGAGAGGAUGAUCCGCCACACUGGGACUGAGACGCGGCCCGGACUCCUACGGGAAGCAGCAGUGGGGAAUAUUGGACAGUGGGCGAAAGCCUGAUCCAGCAAUGACGCGUGAGUGAUGAAGGCCUUAGAGUUGUAAAGCUCUUUUACCCGGGAUGAUAAUGACAGUACCGAGAGAAUAAGCUCCGGCUAACUCCGUG